GACGAACGCUGGCGGCGUGCUUAACACAUGCAAGUCGAACGGAAAGGCCCUGCUUUUGUGGGGUGCUCGAGUGGCGAACGGGUGAGUAACACGUGAGUAACCUGCCCUUGACUUUGGGAUAACUUCAGGAAACUGGGGCUAAUACCGGGUAGGAGCUCCUGCUGCAUGUUGGGGGUUGGAGAGUUUCGGCGGUUGGGGAUGGACUGGAGGCUUAUCAGCUUGUUGGUGGGGUAGUGGAUUCCCAAGGGUUUGACGGGUAGCCUGCAUUAGAGGGUGACCGGGCACAUGGCGACUGCGAGACGGACCAGUAGCGUAUGGGACGCAGUGGUGGAGAACAUGGCGCAACGGGCGGACGUGUGAUGCAGCAGCCCUGCGUGCGUGAUGACGGCUUAUGGGUGAUAAACCGCUUUCGCCUGUGCUGAAGAGGGAGUGACGGUAAUGGGUAAAGAAGCACCGGCUAACUACGUG
This 468-nucleotide ribosomal RNA is filed under the name uncultured bacterium. RNAcentral describes it as "partial 16S ribosomal RNA". It matches the Rfam family "Bacterial small subunit ribosomal RNA", at positions 28 to 507 of the family's 1533-position model. The record is from RNAcentral.